RNAcentral lists this transfer RNA (82 nucleotides) under Echinostoma caproni. It matches the Rfam family "tRNA". Rfam says of the family: Transfer RNA (tRNA) molecules are approximately 80 nucleotides in length. Their secondary structure includes four short double-helical elements and three loops (D, anti-codon, and T loops). Lineage: Eukaryota; Metazoa; Platyhelminthes; Trematoda; Plagiorchiida; Echinostomatidae. The record is from Rfam by way of RNAcentral.
AGCAUCGUGGCUCAGCUGGUAGAGCAUACGCGUACAAAGCCUAGACGGUAUCCAUGCGUGGGUUCGAAUCCUACCGAGGCUA